UGCUAUAUUUGAUAGUUGUUGGCCCC
RNAcentral lists this non-coding RNA (26 nucleotides) under Mus musculus (house mouse). Lineage: Eukaryota; Metazoa; Chordata; Mammalia; Rodentia; Muridae. The record is from RNAcentral.